UCUGGGUUUAUCCCAGCGGUCCCGUUAGAGGAAUAUAACUAACGACGGGGGUUGCGCUCGUUGCGGGACUUAACCCAACACCUCACGGCACGAGCUGACGACAGCCAUGCAGCACCUGUGCUAGCUCCCCGAAGGGUCCUUCGUCUUUCGACUCCGUACUACUAGCAUGUCAAGCCUUGGUAAGGUUCUUCGCGUUGCAUCGAAUUAAACCACACGCUCCGCCGCUUGUGCGGGCCCCCGUCAAUUCCUUUGAGUUUCAGUCUUGCGACCGUACUCCCCAGGCGCAGAACUUAACGCGUUAGCUACGGGACGACCCGCCUACGCGGGCCACCCCAAGUUCUGAUGGUUUAGGGCUAGGACUAC
This 363-nucleotide unclassified non-coding RNA is filed under the name uncultured bacterium. Its description in RNAcentral is "contains 16S-23S intergenic spacer region". The record is from RNAcentral.